GCUGGGUGUGGUAGUGCACACCCGUAAUCCCAGGUACUCAGGAGGCUGAGGCAGGAGAAUUGCUUGAACCUGGGAGGCGGAGGUUGCAGUGAGUCAAGAUCACAUCACUGCACUCCCAGCCUGGGUAACAGAGCAAGACUCUGUCUCAA
Unclassified non-coding RNA from Papio anubis (olive baboon), 149 nucleotides. It matches the Rfam family "Metazoan signal recognition particle RNA". From Rfam's summary of the family: The signal recognition particle (SRP) is a universally conserved ribonucleoprotein. It is involved in the co-translational targeting of proteins to membranes. The record is from Ensembl. NCBI's taxonomy places the organism in Eukaryota, Metazoa, Chordata, Mammalia, Primates, Cercopithecidae.